Cygnus olor (mute swan) is the source of this 1519-nucleotide long non-coding RNA. RefSeq lists it as uncharacterized. The transcript is spliced from 2 exons. Lineage: Eukaryota; Metazoa; Chordata; Aves; Anseriformes; Anatidae. The record is from RefSeq and is a predicted model, not a curated record.
GGCGGGGGAGCUGAAAGGCGAAGAGAGAGAUGCCCCAAGAUCCCAGGCAAUCACACUGCUCCCUCUGCCCCCACCUGCAGCAACAUCUGCAAGAGAAACCAGCGCUAGAGGAGGAAAAAAAAACGAGCUACUAAGGCUUGGCACCCGUCUCUAAAGGAGCGUGACAACGUGGACGAAGAAGUAAGAGUCUCGCCGACAGCUCGUGAUUAACGACCUGCCGCCUCCCUCUUUGUUUUUCUGAGGCAGCAGAAGAAACCGAAAUCAGUCUUUGUCAUUUCAUAAAGAGCAUUUAACGGAACGUUAUAAUUUUAAGCAUUUUAAUUAAGCCUCCUAGCACAUAAUGGCACGCUUCUCGAAUCCCUCAGCCAAACGCGGUCUACUUAAAUAGUGUAUUUCCUCUUUUCAAGCUCUUAAAGCUAUUUUUCUGGGGGGUGCUAAAAUAAUAGACAAAUAAUAGACAAAUUUAAUGUCUAUACACAGUGAUAGGUGAAGAAGAAUUACAAUUGCUGACUCAAAGCAUGGGCCCUAAAUAUUUGCAUUUAAGAAAAUAAGGAGACAACAAACAGGCUAAUUAGUAUUACCUAAUGCAUAAUCUCAGACCUGUCCCACAUAUUUGCCACAUUACUUGAAAAUCCCGGUGGUUACUCCAUGAAAUAUCCCACUACAAGUAGGUAGCGCUGUCAUUGUAGCAAUGACUUCCGCAAAUACUUUCUGCUAACUUGUUUGCAAUGCAAGCAAAGAACCAUGUUAGCUUCUUGUGACACUAGCUGUGAUACUUCUGUGUCAACACAAAACUGAUGCACAGUGACUAAUUAGGAAAAACGCUUGUUUACUUUGUUCAAACUGGUAAAUCUUGCUCUCAAUAUCAGAUGUUACCAUUAAAUACAAUGAAAUUCUGUAAAUACUUUCAUGAAGAAAGAACAUGGGCAUUGCCUGUAGCUCCUAAUACUAUUUAUAUGUAAAACGAAUUGAGACUUCUUUACAUUAUGGUAUGAGAAGCUUUGUAGAGAAGCUUGGAAUGGAGUUCUUGGAUGUUGUUCAGAACUGAAGGUAUUGAGAUGUAAGUGAGGGUAUCAAGAUGUAAGCAUCUGUGACAAAGUCAGCCUAGUAAGAAAUAACUUUCGUUCACAUAUCUUAAAAAAGGAAAAAAAAUGUCAAAAGCAAGCCCUACUGUAUAGUGACAACUAAAAAAGCUUCAUCUCUAGGGCUUAAUCUUUUUCAUAUUAGUGUAAUUAGUCAGUCAUGCAGUCCUGUAUGCAGCCAGAGAGUUGGGAAGUGCCUCUUCUGCAUUAUACUAGGACUGUGUCCAUCCUUGGAAAUUGUAUUACAUUUUCUGCCAUACUGUACUCCUAUGCUCAGUGACUGUUUAAUAAGCAAUAAAGUAUUUUAUCUCAAUCUGCUGCUGAAUAAAAAAAAAUCCUGAGCUUAAGUUGAGCUUGAUAAAUAAGAGUAUUGAAUGGCGAAGUCAUUAUUUAGCAAACCAAAGCAUUAUUAUUAUAAUAUAAUCACAGAUAUGAAA